RNAcentral lists this ribosomal RNA (497 nucleotides) under uncultured bacterium. RNAcentral describes it as "partial 16S ribosomal RNA". It matches the Rfam family "Bacterial small subunit ribosomal RNA", at positions 28 to 507 of the family's 1533-position model. The record is from RNAcentral.
GACGAACGCUGGCGGCGUGCCUAAUACAUGCAAGUUGAGCGCUGAAGGUUGGUACUUGUACCGACUGGAUGAGCAGCGGACGGGUGAGUAACGCGUGGGGAAUCUGCCUUUGAGCGGGGGACAACAUUUGGAAACGAAUGCUAAUACCGCAUAAAAACUUUAAACACAAGUUUUAAGUUUGAAAGAUGCAAUUGCAUCACUCAAAGAUGAUCCCGCGUUGUAUUAGCUAGUUGGUGAGGUAAAGGCUCACCAAGGCGAUGAUACAUAGCCGACCUGAGAGGGUGAUCGGCCACAUUGGGACUGAGACACGGCCCAAACUCCUACGGGAGGCAGCAGUAGGGAAUCUUCGGCAAUGGACGAAAGUCUGACCGAGUAACGCCGCGUGAGUGAAGAAGGUUUUCGGAUCGUAAAACUCUGUUGGUAGAGAAGAACGUUGGUGAGAGUGGAAAGCUCAUCAAGUGACGGUAACUACCCAGAAAGGGACGGCUAACUACGUG